Molecule: ribosomal RNA, 105 nt
Filed under: Pteropus alecto (black flying fox)
Lineage: Eukaryota; Metazoa; Chordata; Mammalia; Chiroptera; Pteropodidae
Also listed under: 1 other name
Source: RNAcentral
AUCUAUGGCCAUGCCACCCUGAACAAGCCCGAUCCCGUCUGAUCUCGGAAGCUAAGCAGAAGCAGGGUCGGGCCUGGUUAGUACUUGGACCAGGUGCUAUAGGUG